UGUUUAAUUAAAUAAAUAUAAUAACUAAGUUAUUAAACUUGGUUAAAUGUUUAAGAAAACAAUCAAGGGAAGGAAAUUACUACAUUUGUGAUCAAGUAACAACUAGAGGGGCCAAGGUUGUCAAUAAAGAGGAAAGUUUAUGUUUAAAUAAAAUAAAAAUUAAAACCCCAAAAAAAAAUACACACUCAGUGUGUGUGUGUGGGUCGAUGUUCGACCAGGAGAGAAAGGAAAAGGGGUAAAACCCUAGAUCACCAAAAUCCAGCAAAUUGAAGGAGGAUUGAAGGGCUAAUCGAAUGCAUGAACCAGGAAUGUCGACCAUUUAAGUGUUUCUACCAUCAUGAACGUGUCAAGGAGACGUCAAGCAUAGGAGGAUGACGGGUCAAGAUAAGGCAAGGUGACAAAUACACUUAUUGGAGUACUCAAGGUAAGUGAAUUUCGAUUCACUUUUUAGUAGGUUUAAUAGAUUUUAAUACUUAUGUUUAUGAAACAUCAUGAAAGAACAUGUAAUAAUCAGAAGUACAAAGUUAAUAAUGCCUCAUUAUUGAAGAAGGUUGUUAUUUAAGCCGAAAGUAAAAUUGGUGGGUUUAAACGGGUCGAAUUUUAUGUGCAUGUGUUGCGUAAUGUAAUGAAAUUCGUUAUGGUUAAGACCUUGGGUAAGAAUUUUUAGUCAAUUAUGUAAGGGGAACAUUUUCCGGACCAUUAGGAACAAGUUUUAUAUAUGAUUCGGUUGUGUAUGGGUCAAGAUAUGGUAGUUUUAAUGUUUAAAAUGGAAGUUGAGCUGGGCACUACCGUAGCUUACGGUAGCCACCGUAAGCUACGGUGGGUUCUGAAGUCUUUCGGGCCACCGUAAGGCAGCAGCACUUCACCGUAAGGGUUUUAUGGCCACCGUAAGCUACGGUAGCCACCGUAGCUUACGGUGGAGCUGUCGCGCCUCGCGUAAUAGUAAGCUAUGGCUUACGCGGCCCGCGAGGGACCGUGCUAUUGGCUUUUUGCUGAAAUUGUGAUGUUUUGAGUAUGAGACUUGUCUAAAAAUGAUUUUUCUAAGGCCACGUACGUUAUGAUAAGGAUGGUUUCAUAUAUCAAUGAUGUAAAGGUUGUCGGUUAGUGAAUGAACGGAUCGUUUCGUGUUAGUGUAGGAAAAUUUAUAAGUAUAUGUGUAUAGGAAUCCAAAAGGCACGUGGGUUGAAUCAUAGAUUGUCUAUGCUAUGUAAGGUUGUGAAUGUGUCAUUCUGGCAUAAACCUACAUGUAAGAAAUGGUAAAAGAAGCUUGUGUAUAUAUUCGUGAUUAAUUGAUUGUGCGUAGGAAGGAAUCAUUGGCAUGUAUGAAGGUACGCAUGUAUAUAUAAGUAUAUAUAUAUAUAUAUGUAUGUAUGUAUGAUAAUAAGUACGUAGGUAUGAUUGUAUGUGUGAAUGAAUGUUCAAUGCUUAAGACAUAUGCAUGAACGUUAUCAAAGUGUUCGAGUAUUUAUGGUUACUAAUGAUGUGCGUUGAGUUGGAAUGUAAUGUAGGUAUGGGAUUGUUGGCUUCAUGAAGAAAUGGAGCUGGAUUUGGAUAAGAGUAUUUAAGAAAGCGCUUGGACAAUUCCAUGAUUACUUUAUGGAAUGCUCUACGAAAUUCUAUUAUAUAGGUUAAUGUUGUAUGGUAUGUUAAUGACUAAUGGUUUGGUUGUACGUGGUGUCCACAGGUAUCGCUUGGGUUUUCUCUACAUUUAUUGAAGUCAAGCAGGGCUUAGUUCGAGUUGAGAGCAAGGAUUGUAUGGGGUAGAACGAUCACACAAUGAGAUUUAUAUAAGUCUUGAUGUGUAAAUCUGUUUAAAUGAAUAUAUGGUAUUUCGUAUUUUAACCUUCAAGUGAUUGACAUGUCUAAUAAAGAACGAAAUUUU
Molecule: long non-coding RNA, 1882 nt
Filed under: Helianthus annuus (common sunflower)
Lineage: Eukaryota; Viridiplantae; Streptophyta; Magnoliopsida; Asterales; Asteraceae
Description: hypothetical non coding rna
Source: RNAcentral